This 27-nucleotide non-coding RNA is filed under the name Mus musculus (house mouse). The record is from RNAcentral. Lineage: Eukaryota; Metazoa; Chordata; Mammalia; Rodentia; Muridae.
UCAAAAACAUUGCCUCCAAAAUAGCCA